RNAcentral lists this ribosomal RNA (974 nucleotides) under uncultured rumen bacterium. RNAcentral describes it as "bacterial SSU rRNA". It matches the Rfam family "Bacterial small subunit ribosomal RNA", at positions 144 to 1121 of the family's 1533-position model. The record is from RNAcentral.
UAGGCUUCCGAAAGAAAGAUUAAUACCCGAUGUUGCGUAUCUUUCUCCUGAAAGAUACGCCAAAGGAUUCCGGUAACCGAUGGGGAUGCGUUCCAUUAGGCAGUUGGCGGGGUAACGGCCCACCAAACCUUCGAUGGAUAGGGGUUCUGAGAGGAAGGUCCCCCACAUUGGAACUGAGACACGGUCCAAACUCCUACGGGAGGCAGCAGUGAGGAAUAUUGGUCAAUGGACGGAAGUCUGAACCAGCCAAGUAGCGUGAAGGAUGACUGCCCUCUGGGUUGUAAACUUCUUUUAUACGGGAAUAACAUGAGGUACGCGUACCUUAUUGCAUGUACCGUUAUGAAUAAGCAUCGGCUAACUCCGUGCCAGCAGCCGCGGUAAUACGGAGGAUGCGAGCGUUAUCCGGAUUUAUUGGGUUUAAAGGGAGCGUAGGUGGGAUAUUAAGUCAGCUGUGAAAGUUUGGGGCUCAACCUUAAAAUUGCAGUUGAUACUGGUUUCCUUGAGUACGGUACACGUGGGCGGAAUUCGUGGUGUAGCGGUGAAAUGCUUAUAUAUCACGAAAAACUCCGAUCGCGAAGGCAGCUCACCGAGCCGGAACUGACACUGAUGCUCGAAAGUGCGGGUAUCAAACAGGAUUAGAUACCCUGGUAGUCCGCACAGUAAACGAUGAAUACUCGCUGUUUGCGAUACACAGUAAGCGGCCAAGCGAAAAGCGUUAAGUAUUCCACCUGGGGAGUACGCUGGCAACGGUGAAACUCAAAGGAAUUGACGGGGGCCCGCACAAGCGGAGGAACAUGUGGUUUAAUUCGAUGAUACGCGAGGAACCUUACCCGGGCUUAAAUUGCGCUGGCUUUUACCGGAAACGGUAUUUUCUUCGGACCAGCGUGAAGGUGCUGCAUGGUUGUCGUCAGCUCGUGCCGUGAGGUGUCGGCUUAAGUGCCAUAACGAGCGCAACCCUUAUCUUUAGUUACUAA